Molecule: long non-coding RNA, 323 nt
Organism: Pseudophryne corroboree (corroboree frog)
Lineage: Eukaryota; Metazoa; Chordata; Amphibia; Anura; Myobatrachidae
Exons: 3
Source: RefSeq, a predicted model, not a curated record
CGCGCCAAGGAAAAGGUAUUAUCUCUUCUAAUAAUCAAAUCAGACACAUCAUACACGCUCGUUCGCGGUGGGGAGGGAAUUCCACACCAGUGAUGGCUACACGGUCGAAGAAGAAGCGGAGGAGCGAUGAUGGCGGUGUGGUGUUGGUGGGAGUCCCAGGGAAGCGGAAGGUGGAGAAUGGGGCUUCCCCCGGUGGUGGGGAGCGCGUUGUAAUCGAGCACUGCACCAGUUGACGGGUUUAUGGGCGAGCGGCUGGUGAAUUGGAAGGUGUCAUUCACUCUAAUUUUCCAGAAAUACAAAUUGAGUUGAACCCUGUAAAACCA